Molecule: ribosomal RNA, 506 nt
Filed under: uncultured bacterium
Lineage: Bacteria
Description: partial 16S ribosomal RNA
Rfam family: Bacterial small subunit ribosomal RNA
Source: RNAcentral
GACGAACGCUGGCGGCGUGCUUAACACAUGCAAGUCGAACGGGCCUUGUCCCCUUUUUUUGGGGGUGGGGUUAGUGGCGAACGGGUGAGUAACACGUGAGUAAUCUGCCCCUCCCUUCUGGAUAACCGCUUGAAAGGGUGGCUAAUACGGGGUGUUCUGGCCUGCUCGCAUGGGUGGGUUUGGAAAGAUUCGACCGGUUUUGGUUGUUUUGGUGGGGGAUGGGCUCGCGGCCUAUCAGCUUGUUGGUGGGGUGAUGGCCUGCCAAGGCUUUGACGGGUAGCCGGCCUGAGAGGGUGGGCGGUCACACUGGGACUGAGACACGGCCCAGACUCCUACGGGAGGCAGCAGUGGGGAAUAUUGCACAAUGGGCGCAAGCCUGAUGCAGCGACGCCGCGUGAGGGAUGGAGGCCUUCGGGUUGGGAACCUCUUUCGCCAGUGAAGAAGGUCCUGCUCUUUGUGGUGGGGUUGACGGUAGCUGGGUUAAUGAAGCGCCGGCUAACUACGUG